CUUUUGUAUAAUGGGUCAGCGACUUAUAUUCUGUAGCAAGGUUAACCGAAUAGGGGAGCCGAAGGGAAACCGAGUCUUAACUGGGCGUUAAGUUGCAGGGUAUAGACCCGAAACCCGGUGAUCUAGCCAUGGGCAGGUUGAAGGUUGGGUAACACUAACUGGAGGACCGAACCGACUAAUGUUGAAAAAUUAGCGGAUGACUUGUGGCUGGGGGUGAAAGGCCAAUCAAACCGGGAGAUAGCUGGUUCUCCCCGAAAGCUAUUUAGGUAGCGCCUCGUGAAUUCAUCUCCGGGGGUAGAGCACUGUUUCGGCAAGGGGGUCAUCCCGACUUACCAACCCGAUGCAAACUGCGAAUACCGGAGAAUGUUAUCACGGGAGACACACGGCGGGUGCUAACGUCCGUCGUGAAGAGGGAAACAACCCAGACCGCCAGCUAAGGUCCCAAAGUCAUGGUUAAGUGGGAAACGAUGUGGGAAGGCCCAGACAGCCAGGAUGUUGGCUUAGAAGCAGCCAUCAUUUAAAGAAAGCGUAAUAGCUCACUGGUCGAGUCGGCCUGCGCGGAAGAUGUAACGGGGCUAAACCAUGCACCGAAGCUGCGGCAGCGACGCUGAUGCGUUGUUGGGUAGGGGAGCGUUCUGUAAGCCUGCGAAGGUGUGCUGUGAGGCAUGCUGGAGGUAUCAGAAGUGCGAAUGCUGACAUAAGUAACGAUAAAGCGGGUGAAAAGCCCGCUCGCCGGAAGACCAAGGGUUCCUG
RNAcentral lists this ribosomal RNA (753 nucleotides) under Escherichia coli. RNAcentral describes it as "partial 23S ribosomal RNA". It matches the Rfam family "Bacterial large subunit ribosomal RNA", at positions 605 to 1357 of the family's 2925-position model. The record is from RNAcentral. Lineage: Bacteria; Pseudomonadati; Pseudomonadota; Gammaproteobacteria; Enterobacterales; Enterobacteriaceae.